GAUGAACGCUGGCGGCGUGCCUAAUACAUGCAAGUCGAGCGAACAGACGAGGAGCUUGCUCCUCUGACGUUAGCGGCGGACGGGUGAGUAACACGUGGAUAACCUACCUAUAAGACUGGGAUAACUUCGGGAAACCGGAGCUAAUACCGGAUAAUAUAUUGAACCGCAUGGUUCAAUAGUGAAAGACGGUUUUGCUGUCACUUAUAGAUGGAUCCGCGCCGCAUUAGCUAGUUGGUAAGGUAACGGCUUACCAAGGCGACGAUGCGUAGCCGACCGGAGAGGGUAUUGGCCAACAUGGGAAUUGGGACCCGUUCCAGAUACUUAGGGGAGGACGAGUAGGGAAUUCUUCGGAAAUGGGCAAAAGCUUGACGAGCAAACGCGGCUGAAGUAAUGAAGUACUUCGAUCCGUAAACCUCUGUAUUAGGGAAGAACAAAUGUGUAAGUAACUAUGCACGUCUUGACGGUACCUAAUCAGAAAGCCACGGCUAACUACGUG
RNAcentral lists this ribosomal RNA (496 nucleotides) under uncultured bacterium. RNAcentral describes it as "partial 16S ribosomal RNA". It matches the Rfam family "Bacterial small subunit ribosomal RNA", at positions 28 to 507 of the family's 1533-position model. The record is from RNAcentral.